CUCGUGGGAUUAUCUAGUUGGUGAGGUAAAGGCUCACCAAGGCGACGAUCCCUAUCUGGUUUGAGAGGAUGAUCAGCCACACUGGGACUGAGACACGGCCCAGACUCCUACGGGAGGCACAGUGGGGAAUAUUGGACAAUGGGGGCAAUCCCGAUCCAGCCAUGCCGCGUGUGUGAAGAAGGCCCGAGGGUUGUAAAGCACUUUCAGUUGGGAGGAAGGUUUAGUCGCUAAUAUUGGCUUUUCUUGACGUUACCUUCAGAAGAAGCACCGGCUAACUCUGUGCCAGCAGCCGCGGUAAUACAGAGGGUGGAAGCGUUAUUCGGAAUUACUGGACGUAAAGCGCGCGUAGCCUGAUUGUUUAAAUUGGUUGUGAAUCCCCUGGGCUCAACCUAGGAAUUGCA
Molecule: ribosomal RNA, 401 nt
Filed under: uncultured bacterium
Lineage: Bacteria
Description: bacterial SSU rRNA
Rfam family: Bacterial small subunit ribosomal RNA
Source: RNAcentral